This 492-nucleotide ribosomal RNA is filed under the name uncultured bacterium. Its description in RNAcentral is "partial 16S ribosomal RNA". It matches the Rfam family "Bacterial small subunit ribosomal RNA", at positions 29 to 507 of the family's 1533-position model. The record is from RNAcentral.
AGUGAACGCUGGCGGUAGGCCUAUCACAUGCAAGUCGAACGGCAGCACAGUAAGAGCUUGCUCUUACGGGUGGCGAGUGGCGGACGGGUGAGGAAUACAUCGGAAUCUACUUUUUCGUGGGGGAUAACGUAGGGAAACUUACGCUAAUACCGCAUACGACCUACGGGUGAAAGCAGGGGAUCUUCGGACUUUGCGCGAUUGAAUGAGCCGAUGUCGGAUUAGCUAGUUGGCGGGGUAAAGGCCCACCAAGGCGACGAUCCGUAGCUGGUCUGAGAGGAUGAUCAGCCGCACUGGAGCUGAGACACGGUCCAGACUCCGACGGGAGGCAGCAGUGGGGAAUAUUGGACGAUGGGCGCAAGCCUGAUCCAGCCAUACCGCGUGGGUGAAGAAGGCCUUCGGGUUGUAAAGCCCUUUUGUUGGGAAAGAAAAGCAGCAGGUUAAUACCCCGCUGUUCUGACGGUACCCAAAGAAUAAGCGCCGGCUGACUUCGUG